Molecule: ribosomal RNA, 552 nt
Filed under: uncultured bacterium
Lineage: Bacteria
Description: bacterial SSU rRNA
Rfam family: Bacterial small subunit ribosomal RNA
Source: RNAcentral
GGCAGCAGUGGGGAAUAUUGGACAAUGGACCAAAAGUCUGAUCCAGCAAUUCUGUGUGCACGAUGAAGGUCUUCGGAUUGUAAAGUGCUUUCAGCAGGGAAGAAGCAAGUGACGGUACCUGCAGAAGAAGCGACGGCUAAAUACGUGCCAGCAGCCGCGGUAAUACGUAUGUCGCAAGCGUUAUCCGGAAUUAUUGGGCGUAAAGCGCGUCUAGGCGGCUUAUUAAGUCUGAUGUUAAAAUGCGGGGCUCAACUCCGUAUUGCGUUGGAAACUGGUAGGCUAGAGUAUCAGAGAGGUGGGCGGAACUACAAGUGUAGAGGUGAAAUUCGUAGAUAUUUGUAGGAAUGCCGAUGGGGAAGCCAGCUCACUGGAUGAAUACUGACGCUGAAGCGCGAAAGCGUGGGGAGCAAACGGGAUUAGAUACCCCGGUAGUCCACGCCGUAAACGAUGAUCACUAAGUGUGGGGGGUCGAACCUCCGUGCUCAAGCUAACGCGAUAAGUGAUCCGCCUGGGGAGUACGCACGCAAGUGUGAAACUCAAAUGAAUUGACGG